This 422-nucleotide ribosomal RNA is filed under the name uncultured Glomeraceae. RNAcentral describes it as "SSU rRNA". It matches the Rfam family "Eukaryotic small subunit ribosomal RNA", at positions 459 to 887 of the family's 1831-position model. The record is from RNAcentral. Lineage: Eukaryota; Fungi; Glomeromycota; Glomeromycetes; Glomerales; Glomeraceae.
GGGAGGUAGUGACAAUAAAUAACAAUACGGGGUUCUUCGAAUCUCGUAAUUGGAAUGAGUACAAUUUAAAUCUCUUAACGAGGAACAAUUGGAGGGCAAGUCUGGUGCCAGCAGCCGCGGUAAUUCCAGCUCCAAUAGCGUAUAUUAAAGUUGUUGCAGUUAAAAAGCUCGUAGUUGAAUUUCGGGGUCAGCAGGUUGGUCUUGCCACUGGUAUGUACUGGCUUUACUGGUUCCUCCUUCUUGAAGAACUGUAAUGUCAUUAAUUUGGUGUUGCAGGGAAACAGGACUGUUACUUUGAAAAAUUAGAGUGUUUAAAGCAGGCUAACGCUUGAAUACAUUAGCAUGGAAUAAUGAAAUAGGACGUUUGAUCCUAUUUUGUUGGUUUCUAGGAUUGACGUAAUGAUUAAUAGGGAUAGUUGGGG